CCUACGGGUGGCAGCAGUGGGGAAUAUUGCACAAUGGGGGAAACCCUGAUGCAGCGACGCCGCGUGAGUGAAGAAGUAUUUCGGUAUGUAAAGCUCUAUCAGCAGGGAAGAAAAUGACGGUACCUGACUAAGAAGCCCCGGCUACAUACGUGCCAGCAGCCGCGGUAAUACGUAGGGCGCAAGCGUUCUCCGGAUUUACUGGGUGUAAAGGGAGCGUAGGCGGUAAGGCAAGUCUGAUGUGAAAGGCCAGGGCUCAACCCUGGAACUGCAUUGGAGACUGUUUAACUGGAGUGUCGGAGAGGCAAGUGGAAUGCCUAGUGUAGCGGUGAAAUGCGGAGAUAGUAGGAGGAACACCAGUGGCGAAGGCGGCUUGCUGGACGAUGACUGACGCUGAGGCUCGAAAGCGUGGGGAGCAAACAGGAUUAGAUACCCUGGUAGUC
RNAcentral lists this ribosomal RNA (440 nucleotides) under uncultured bacterium. Its description in RNAcentral is "partial 16S ribosomal RNA". It matches the Rfam family "Bacterial small subunit ribosomal RNA", at positions 338 to 795 of the family's 1533-position model. The record is from RNAcentral.